GGAAAAUUUGCCGUGUGGGCGGAGCUAUUGCAAGGGGGCGUGGCGGAGGUAUUCCAGGGGGCGGGGCGGCUUUCUCUUGCUGGGAAGCCUCGCGGGCUGGAAUAAUGAAUGAGGCACAGACCGAGCGCCCAGUGGGGUUAUUGUGCGCGUGUGUGUGUGUUCGCGCACGGAACGCCUUCAAAGUUCAGUCGCACAUUCCGAUAGCGAGACAAGAGAUGUAGAAGCGGAGCGUCGGGACACGUGGAGGAGGAUUCCGUCUCUUCUUUCCCCCCGUGCCGUGUUAGGACUUCAGUGGCUCGCGAGGAGCGCGUUCCAGCGCAGAUCGUUUGUCCGGCAGCGCGCAGGAGCUCUUUGUGAAGAAGGUGCUGGGACCCUGGCUCUGUGAAGGGGGCGUCCACGCGUUGCAUAACAGGGUCUUGGUCAAGCCCUGGACCAUGGAAAUGAGACAGAGGAGAACCUGAUGGGGUCAGAAUGGAGGUUUUGAUAGGGUCGCUGGAAAGGAAGUUGCAGAGACCGCUCCUGGCCAAGUCACGGACACUUCCGAGCAUCCCUCAGUCCCCGACCGUCUCACGAGUGCACCGCUCGGACCUAGUGAGCGGCAGUCCUUCUCGCAGAAAACCUCUUUUCAGCACCAACCACCCCAAGGCGUGCACGCUGCCCCCUGCAGGAGAAGCGUGGAGGCUGGAGGACGACAACGACGAGGAGGGCGGCGAGGCCGAGGCCGGCCGACUGCGCGCCGAGGCCCGACCGCGCUCCCAGUCGCCCUUCUCGCAGCUCCGCUCUCGGGCCGCCUACCUGCGUAAGAGCGCCUCCGUGGACGACCAUCUGGGAUCGUCGGAAUUUGGGACGGCACCGGCGGAGAACAAGAGCCAUCGCGCCGGCAAGGGGAAGCUCAAGAGGAAGUUCGUAAGUUCUGGUUUCCCUCAACCUCUUCGCAGUCGGUUGAAUGCGUGACGGUGUUUCCGGGAACGCGUGGAGAUGUGUGUCAGCACGUGGGGGCGCGAGGGAGUCCGCGGGAACUUCUGGGACCGUGACGGAAGGUGCGGGAACCUGCUGGAAUCUGCAGGAAUAUACCAGAACGCGUGACUCUCCUUUAGGAGUCUCUAGCAGGUCAGAGUGGAGAGAAAAAGGCGGUCGAUGAUCGUCGAGAUGAGGGUUCUUGUUCAAACAGCCCUGUGGUUAUAAUUAGUUCUAACGGCGCUUUUGUGUGCUUUAGAUCGGUAUUGAGGUAAUUGCACAUAAUGCACUAUAAGCAAGCUUUUGAAAGGAGUGUUAGCAAGGUGCCCAGAAUGUGCUACGAUCAAUAGAGGGCGAUUACAUUCAAGGUGGCCUGGAGAACCUGACCGCACUGACUAAUGCCUGGCAUUUUUUUUUCCUUCCUUUUCCAUUGAGGAGACGGACAGCGAUUUCAUUUGAACGGAUUACUUCUGCUCGCAGAAAAUGUUUGGCAGGAAAACAAACUGAGAAAACCAGAAUGCAAACCUGCAACCAGACAGGUUCUUAGCUGUUGUCAUGGAAAUGUCACCCCCCCCCCCCCCAAACCCAAACCUUCCUAUGCUUGUUGGUCCCUUUCCUCUGCUGUAAUCUGGACUCUGUCUCCAAUGAGACACUUUAAGGACUGAUUUUUCUUUUUUCUUGUAAACAAAUCUGAAUGUUAAUUCUGCUCCGGGUGAAAUCGGAUCACACGGCUAUUGGCGCCACUCUCGCGAUCCUCUCAGCGCUCAUCCCACACACUCCCUUGAAUAUAACCUGCUUCGCUGCAUCGUUUCCCGCUGUGUCUAAUUAGAACCAAACUUAAGAUCGUUUUCCUUGAUUAAACUCCAGCAAAGGAAGGGUUUCGAAGCCCUCGUGCCAGUUGCAAGUUUCCAGCUUGAAACUCCAAAUGGAAAAUAUAACAUAUAGUUCGCAAAACUUUGUGGGGC
Scleropages formosus (Asian bonytongue) is the source of this 1922-nucleotide long non-coding RNA. The record is from Ensembl. Lineage: Eukaryota; Metazoa; Chordata; Actinopteri; Osteoglossiformes; Osteoglossidae.